UUAAGUGACUAAGCGUACACGGUGGAUGCCUUGGCAGUUGGAGGCGAUGAAGGACGUACUAACUUGCGAUAAGCCUAGUCAAGCCAGUAAGAGGCGCUUGAGACUAGGAUUUCCGAAUGGGGAAACCCACCUGCUUGCAGGUAUCGUUAACUGAAUACAUAGGUUAACGAGGCGAACGCGGAGAACUGAAACAUCUAAGUACCCGUAGGAAAAGAAAUCAAUCGAGAUUCCGAAAGUAGCGGCGAGCGAAAUCGGACCAGCCCUUAAGCUUUAGUGUAGUUAAUGGAACAUGCUGGAAAGCAUGACGAAACAGGGUGAUAGUCCCGUACACAAAAACUUAUCUAAAGUGAAAUCGAGUAGGUCGGAGCACGUGAAACUUUGACUGAAUAUGGGGGGACCAUCCUCCAAGGCUAAAUACUCCCAACUGACCGAUAGUGAACCAGUACCGUGAGGGAAAGGCGAAAAGAACCCCUGUGAGGGGAGUGAAAUAGAACCUGAAACCGUGUACGUACAAGCAGUAGGAGCCUACUUGUUGGGUGACUGCGUACCUUUUGUAUAAUGGGUCAGCGACUUAUAUUCUGUAGCGAGGUUAACCAUUUAGGGGAGCCGUAGCGAAAGCGAGUCUUAACUGGGCGCUUAAGUUGCAGGGUAUAGACCCGAAACCCGGUGAUCUAGCCAUGGGCAGGUUGAAGGUUGAGUAACAUCAACUGGAGGACCGAACCCACUAACGUUGAAAAGUUAGGGGAUGACCUGUGGCUAGGAGUGAAAGGCUAAUCAAACCGGGAGAUAGCUGGUUCUCCCCGAAAUCUAUUUAGGUAGAGCCUCGGACGAAUACUUACGGGGGUAGAGCACUGUUAAGGCUAGGGGGUCAUCCCGACUUACCAACCCUUUGCAAACUCCGAAUACCGUAAAGUAAUAUCCGGGAGACACACGGCGGGUGCUAACGUCCGUCGUGGAGAGGGAAACAACCCAGACCGUCAGCUAAGGUCCCAAAGUGUAUGUUAAGUGGGAAACGAUGUGGGAAGGCUAAAACAGCUAGGAGGUUGGCUUAGAAGCAGUCACCCUUUAAAGAAAGCGUAAUAGCUCACUAGUCGAGUCGGCCUGCGCGGAAGAUGUAACGGGGCUAAACAUACCACCGAAGCUACGGCUGCGAACUUAGUUCGCGGGGUAGGGGAGCGUUCUGUAAGUGGCUGAAGGUGUGCUGGGAGGCAUGCUGGACAUAUCAGAAGUGCGAAUGCUGACAUGAGUAACGACAAGAGGAGUGAAAAACUCCUCCGCCGGAAGACCAAGGGUUCCUAUCCCAUGUUAAUCAGGGUAGGGUGAGUCGACCCCUAAGGCGAGGCUGAAGAGCGUAGUCGAUGGGAAACGGGUUAAUAUUCCCGUACUCGGUAUGAAUGCGAUGGGGGGACGGAGCAGGCUAGGCAAGCAUGGCGUUGGUUGUCCAUGUGAAAGGCUGUAGGCUGGUGACUUAGGAAAAUCCGGGUUGCCAAGGCUGAGAGUCGAGACGAGCCACUAAGGUGGUGAAGUUGUUGAUGCCCUACUUCCAGGAAAAGCCUCUAAGCUUCAGUUCAUACUGAAUCGUACCCUAAACCGACACAGGUGGUCAGGUAGAGAAUACUAAGGCGCUUGAGAGAACUCGGGUGAAGGAACUAGGCAAAAUUGUACCGUAACUUCGGGAGAAGGUACGCUCUUGUUUGUGAAGGACUUGCUCUGUAAGCAAACGAGAGCCGCAGUGACCAGGUGGCUGGGACUGUUUAUUAAAAACACAGCACUGUGCAAAAUCGUAAGAUGACGUAUACGGUGUGACACCUGCCCGGUGCCGGAAGGUUAAUUGAUGGGGUUAGCUUAGGCGAAGCUCUUGAUCGAAGCCCCGGUAAACGGCGGCCGUAACUAUAACGGUCCUAAGGUAGCGAAAUUCCUUGUCGGGUAAGUUCCGACCUGCACGAAUGGUGUAACCAUGGCCACGCUGUCUCCACCCGAGACUCAGUGAAAUUGAAAUCGCAGUGAAGAUGCUGUGUACCCGCGGCUAGACGGAAAGACCCCGUGAACCUUUACUACAGCUUGGCACUGAACAUUGACCCUACAUGUGUAGGAUAGGUGGGAGGCUUUGAAGCAGAGACGCUAGUUUCUGUGGAGCCGACCUUGAAAUACCACCCUUGUAGUGUUGAUGUUCUAACUUAGGCCCCUGAAUCGGGGUUGAGGACAGUGCCUGGUGGGUAGUUUGACUGGGGCGGUCUCCUCCCAAAGAGUAACGGAGGAGCACGAAGGUUUGCUAAGUACGGUCGGACAUCGUACGGUUAGUGUAAUGGUAGAAGCAAGCUUAACUGCGAGACAGACACGUCGAGCAGGUACGAAAGUAGGUCAUAGUGAUCCGGUGGUUCUGAAUGGAAGGGCCAUCGCUCAACGGAUAAAAGGUACUCCGGGGAUAACAGGCUGAUACCGCCCAAGAGUUCAUAUCGACGGCGGUGUUUGGCACCUCGAUGUCGGCUCAUCACAUCCUGGGGCUGAAGUCGGUCCCAAGGGUAUGGCUGUUCGCCAUUUAAAGUGGUACGCGAGCUGGGUUUAGAACGUCGUGAGACAGUUCGGUCCCUAUCUGCCGUGGGCGUUUGAGAAUUGAGAGGGGCUGCUCCUAGUACGAGAGGACCGGAGUGGACGAACCGCUGGUGUUCGGGUUGUGAUGCCAAUUGCAUUGCCCGGUAGCUACGUUCGGAACUGAUAACCGCUGAAAGCAUCUAAGCGGGAAGCAGGCCUCGAGAUGAGUUCUCACUUUGACUUAGAGUCAACUGAAGGGCCGUUGAAGACUACAACGUUGAUAGGCGAGAUGUGGAAGUGCUGUGAGGCAUUAAGCUAACUCGUACUAAUUACCCGUGAGGCUUAACCAU
Molecule: ribosomal RNA, 2882 nt
Filed under: Pseudoalteromonas piscicida
Lineage: Bacteria; Pseudomonadati; Pseudomonadota; Gammaproteobacteria; Alteromonadales; Pseudoalteromonadaceae
Description: bacterial LSU rRNA
Rfam family: Bacterial large subunit ribosomal RNA
Source: RNAcentral